AUAGAAUAAAGGAAGAUAACCUGAAAUCUAUGAGCACUAACUCUGGGGCAGGUGAAGUAUAGGAAGAAUGAAGGAAACAAACCUUAGCUAACCCCUGGCACUGCCAGGUUAUCAUUGCAAGGCACUGACCUUUGACAACAAUUGUCGCAUUAUUACCCGACUGUUCUAAGUGAUGACAGGCAUAGUCACAGCACAUGACCCGGGACAGAAACAGUAUCUAAGCUAGUGCUCUUUCCACUUCAUUAAUUUAAAUGAUAAGCUCAAGCACUUAUACAAACAUGGUUGUGGUUGUGAUAUUGGCUCAGAUUUCAAGACUAAUUUAAGUCACCACAAGAACUUUAUCCUAAGUCAAGAAAAGCAAAUUGAGUUUAAUGGAGAGCUCAGCUUUUCCCCUCCCCUGUGGCUUCUUUGAAAUAAAUGCUUCAAGAGAGUGACUCAACUCCCAGUUCUUAUUUAACACACCUUCUGGAGAUAGGCCUCUGAAACCCAGCGUGAGACUUGCAAGGUGGUGUGAGUUUUGAAGAAAUCUCAAGAUGACAUCACAACCCUCCUCUCUGAAAAAAUGAACAGAUUCCACCCUGCUCCCUGGGUACUGGCAUUUCAGUAUGCAGUAGGAAACCAACCCAACAGGGCCUGCUCCCAGUAGGACUCCUCAGGCCUCUACUCUCCCAGCUCCAGCUUUUCCACCUGCGCUUGAGUCAAGGCCUGUACCAGGAGUGGGUAGAAGGAAAUCUGCUGGAGUCAAGACCUCUUGGCCAAGGCUCUAAGCCCUGCAUCAUGCUCUGCUGUCCUGUAAGUUUUCAUUUACAAUUUGAGGACAGCAGUGACUUAUUAUUACACCUCCAGGGUGGAGCCCUUCUGAGCAUGGGGCUGAGUGAUUGUACUGGAGCCAGGAGGCUGGCUCAGAUUAUCAGUUCACUUUUCCUGUAUUUCUUACCUGAUUGGAAAUUUGGAGAAAGACAAGGGAAUAAUUACCACUACCUUCCAAGUGCUUCCAGCAGUUCUAUGAAAGCACUUAUAUCACCUAUAAUUUAAUAAUUACAAUUUAUAAUUUGAUAAGUAUGGUUAUUGUUACUGUACAGAGAGGAAACUGAGGCUCGAUGAGUUAAAUAACUUAUUAAGGGCAUAAAGCUAUUAAGUGGGAGAACUAAAAUUCAGUUUCCUUAGGCUAUUGUUAUGAUCUGAAGAUGGUUUGUCCCCCACAGGUACAAAGAGAACAUGUAUGAAUCUCCUACAAUGUACCUGCCAGACACUUGACAUCAAUUAUCUGAUCCCUACAAAAUUCCAAGAUAGUUAUCUUAUUGAGUUGGUUCUUUGACAAGAUGGUAAGGGGAUUAGGGAUACGGGAGCCAGUAUUAUAGACAGCUAAGUUAGGUAAAAAUAUAAUAGGCAGUCAGACAGGG
This is a long non-coding RNA of Heterocephalus glaber (naked mole-rat), 1403 nucleotides long. RefSeq lists it as uncharacterized. NCBI's taxonomy places the organism in Eukaryota, Metazoa, Chordata, Mammalia, Rodentia, Bathyergidae. The record is from RefSeq and is a predicted model, not a curated record.